RNAcentral lists this unclassified non-coding RNA (361 nucleotides) under uncultured Russulales. Its description in RNAcentral is "sequence contains 5.8S rRNA gene, ITS2, 28S rRNA gene". Lineage: Eukaryota; Fungi; Basidiomycota; Agaricomycetes; Agaricales. The record is from RNAcentral.
AACGCACCUUGCGCCCCUUGGCAUUCCGAGGGGCACACCCGUUUGAGUGUCGUGAAAUCCUCAAAACCCCCUUCUUUGAUCUUUUUUGAUCGAGGGAAGGGAUUUUGGACUUGGAGGGUCACUGCUGGCUUUCACUUUUGAAAAGCGAGCUCCUCCUAAAGGAAUUAGUGGGGUUUGCUUUGUCGAUCCUUGACGUGAUAAGAUGUUUCUACGUUUUGGGUUUGGCACCGUAGCCUGCUUCUAACCGUCCGACGGACGACCAUGGUGCUCUGGUCACCACCAUCUCACUGGUGUUGGGAGGCUGGACCCAUGAAAUAAAAACCUUGACCUCAAAUCGGGUGAGACUACCCGCUGAACUUAA